CCUGGCACCAGGGCCCUGAACUUUGCCAAAGUGAAAGUGAAAAUCCAGUUGCUUUUACAGAAGGGAAAAUCUGGUAUUGUUCCUUUUCUCCAGUGAUCCCAACAGCUUCUGCAUCGCAUGUGCGGGGCUGUGAAAGGGGAGUGAAUACUUCAGCAGCUGGAAAGCCUGCUUGUUCCCGUGGAGUCUCCUGCUGCAGUGCUCGUGCCCAGGGAGAGGGUACUUAAAGGCUUCAUUGAAAACACGUCACUGUGUAGAGAUGUGACUGUAAUGAGAGCCUGGUGAUCCUGCCCAGGGAUUGGGGUGGAGGAUCGAGGAGUGCGUCCAACCCCAGUGGAGCCAAGCACCCAGGACGGCCUGAUGGAUUUUCUCCCCUUCACGCGUUUUUGUUUCCUGCUGCUGACAGUUUCAUCUGCCUUUCUAACUACUGCUAUACCCAGUGGUGACCCUGCUGAGGGGACAAAAGGCUCUUCCUUUAGCAGCACAAAUGUGACAGUCUAUGACUGCAAGCGCUGUGGUAUCAGAGUAUGCGAGUUAUCCAAUUUCAGUUGCUGUGAUGUAAUCGGUGAAACACGAAACAAGAUGUUUUCAAAUGAAGUAAUUCAGCUGGUGGCCGAAGAAACACAUAUCACUGUGUGCUUUCAGCAAGAAGAUACUUCUCCAGAAGGAAUUUACACCAUCUUCUGGGUGAAAGCCGAGGGAAUGGGAUAUUCAUGUGGCAGCCUGGAGGCUAAAGAGAAUAGGAARGACAUCAUCAUUACAGAGUGGAAAAAGACUUGCUGUACAGCAGACAUCCAGCCCGAAGUGCCCAACAGUUCCUUGAAUUGCUACAGUGAUCUGCCAGGCAAAAAGGGUUUCUUGUCAUCUUCGGUCAGCAAAGAAGGCAACUUUGACAUCACCACCGUGUUUGUGGCUCUUGUGGGCUGUGCUGUAGUACUGGUAGUGUAUUGUGUUCUAAAAAAAAUGAAACCAUACAGUCAGACAAAAUGCAUGUUUCCUAUGGGUAACUUGGCUUAGAAGCAACACUUGUAGUGAAAAAGGUAGCAUACACAGUUUUCUUUCUGGAUCUUGUUUCCRUUAAAUUGUUUUUGCAGUUGCUAAAUGAUGUUGACUGUGAAGGGGAGGCUGGGCUAACAGCUGGUCUGAAUUCCACCUCUGCAUCUGGCACCACGGUGCAGUGCCCAGUCAUCUGGCUUCGUCAGGAAAAAGACACACAGAAUAAAUUUCCUCCUUGCUAAAAUAAUACA
RNAcentral lists this long non-coding RNA (1244 nucleotides) under Apteryx rowi (Okarito brown kiwi). RNAcentral describes it as "lncRNA (ENSARWG00000002568.1)". Lineage: Eukaryota; Metazoa; Chordata; Aves; Apterygiformes; Apterygidae. The record is from RNAcentral.